RNAcentral lists this ribosomal RNA (747 nucleotides) under uncultured fungus. RNAcentral's name for it is "eukaryotic LSU rRNA". The stretch from base 208 to 361 matches the Rfam family "5.8S ribosomal RNA". Lineage: Eukaryota; Fungi. The record is from RNAcentral.
AGUAAAAGUCGUAACAAGGUUUCCGUAGGUGAACCUGCGGAAGGAUCAUUAUCGAGUUUUGAAAGGGGUUGUAGCUGGCCCUCCGGGGCAAGUGCUCGCCUCGCUCAUCCACUCAACACCUGUGCACCCUCUGUGGGCCUCACGGCCUGCGUCUUCACAAACGAGUCAGUCUUUGAAUGUAUACCGCGUAUAUAACGCAUUUAAUACAACUUUCAACAACGGAUCUCUUGGCUCUCGCAUCGAUGAAGAACGCAGCGAAAUGCGAUAAGUAAUGUGAAUUGCAGAAUUCAGUGAAUCAUCGAAUCUUUGAACGCACCUUGCGCUCCUUGGUAUUCCGAGGAGCAUGCCUGUUUGAGCGUCGUGAAUCUCUCAACCCAUCUAGUGUUGAUGGGCUUGGAAUUGGAGGCCUUUGCCGGCGAUGGUCGGCUCCUCUCAAAUGAAUUAGCUGGGCUUUAGCUCGGAGGAACCGGUCGGUGUGAUAAUUAUCUAUGCCGUCUGGAGUACUUCGGAUCCCGCUCCCAACCGUCCAUUCAACGGGUCUGACCCGGGACUACAUUUUUGAAUCUGACCUCAAAUCAGGUAGGAUUACCCGCUGAACUUAAGCAUAUCAAUAAGCGGAGGAAAAGAAACUAACAAGGAUUCCCCUAGUAACUGCGAGUGAAGCGGGAAGAGCUCAAAUUUAAAAUCUGGCGGUCUCUGGCCGUCCGAGUUGUAAUCUAGAGAAGCGUUUUCCGUGCAAGGGCGAAU